UUGGCAUGUCAAGAAAGAAGCUUUGCUAGAAGAGGGUGGUGGCCCGAGGGUGGAAAUCCUGACUCCUAGCCCCUCCUGAGAGCUGUGUAGUGGUUAGCUCUGCUCUGGGCACCAGAUCCAAUCCUGAUCUUAAGCUAGGAGCUUGGCAUCCCUGUGCCAUGUGACUCAGCUGUGAUAGUGUGUUCUAAUUUUCCUAAGGAGGUGUCUUCUAUCUACAAGUUUCCUUCCAGGCAUGAUGGUAGCUGGACUUCGCGUUCCUCCGCCGGGCUCUUAUCUAAUGACCUUGUCCAUUUGUAACUGCUGUCUCCCAUUGCUGUUUCGUUUCCAAAAGUCAGAGUCAAGAGUUCCGCAGCCUUGAAUAUCACUUAACUCCCACUAGCCCGGAUGUCACCUGCUUCCAGAUUUUCCAUGUCAUCUCUUGAAUCAAUGCUGGGACACGCUCUGCUCCUCUGGGCUGUCCCUCUUCCCCUCCCCAGACAAAUCUGAUACUUACAUUACUCACAUUCAAACUGCACAUCCAAUGUCUAGCACAGUGCCUGGUUCAGGGUUGGUAUUCAAGAAAUAUUAGGCAAAGGAAUGAAUUCAUUCUCUCCGUAGCCGGGACUUUCUUCCAGUGUUUACUGGAAAUUUAUCUUCGCAGGUGUUCUAAGUCUCAGCACAGCCAGGUUGCCUCCCUGAGCUGGGACACCGCAGCAAGCUGGCAUGCAUCUUAGCAUGAACCUGGAGCCAGGAUCCUGGGAUCUCUAUGAUGAAAUUCUAGAAGCUGCUCUGAUUCACUUGAAAACGACGAAAGGAAGAAAGCCUAUUGUAAGAAUUGAGCACAACUUUUGAAAGAGGUCUUCUCUUCAAUUAUAACCUCGGUGGGUCCAGCACAGAGAGAGGAUCACAGAGCUCAAGAAAAGGUGAAGGAGUGGCCAGACCGGAGGGAGAGGAUGAAAACUGGACAAAGCUGGUUUUUACUCAAGGGCUCCAGAAGGGCAGGUUGGCAGGAGAAACUAACAAACCUUUCUGAAAAGGAAGUGUAAGAGUAACUUACCAGAGAGGGUAAAUAAGGGAACACACCUUCAGUCAAGGCUGCUUUAACCAAGACAACAGCCAUUAGCAAAAUGAUAAUAUAAUAAAUCAAUGCCGUGGAUCCAAGGUGGUUUCGAAGUCAAAAGCUUCUGGUAGGUGUCCCAGCAUUUUCUGGGAAGAAGUUUGCCUUCCAAAGUCAAAAGCAAAAAUGCUUACAAAAUGCAUGUGUCAUUAAGGCCCCUGGGCACUGCAGAAAUGCAUUAGCUAUGGGGUUGCUAAAUGUUUCUUGCAAACUGAAGUACAGGAAAUGAAGGGUGUGGCGCAGCACAGCCCCAGGAGGACCUUCAGGGUUGAGAGUGUUCUGUACCUUGCAAUGUCAGGGAUGAGCGCCGAUACAAGGCUAGUAUUUAACUUUACUUCAUAAUGUGAACCACCUUCCUAUUUAAAUAGCCAUGUUUUUAAAGUAGCUUUCAUAUUUGAAAUGUGAGCUGUGGAUCAAGAAUUGUUUGGCUGGAAGGAUUCAACUUCUGCAGGGGUGGGUGGACUUCUACAGAGGUGGGUGGAUUUUUGUAAAGGGCACUGGGUUACCACUCUUUUUGACACAAAAGCCUUUUCUUAGAUUUCAAUUUUCUUUCCUCACCUGAAAUGAACAGUCGCCAAAGGACUAUGAAGUAGUUUUAAGUUUUCUUUGACAAGUCUUGCUCAGUGGCCUCAAUCUCAUUAUAUAAUACAACAUGUGUUUGGUGCAUCAACUCUGAUGGCCUCAAUCUCAUUGUGUAAUAUGGCAUGGGUUUGAUGGGUCAGCUUGGCUAGCAGUACCAUUUAAUGUCAUCAGGGUCUUUGAGGUGUCUACCAUAGGGGGUGGUGAUGAGUACUCUACGGACUUCUAUACACGGGGUGCCAGUCUUCUUUGGGGAUCACUGCCUCUGCCACUCAGUGUUUAGUAAGUAUAGUUCUAAAUUAUUUGUUCUGUUUAAUGUUCAGCUAUGAAGUCAUACACCAAUAGACUAGCCAUAAAAAUAUUUAAAAUGCCGCAUCUACUAUUUUGUUAAUCUUGGUUAUCAACUUGACAUACUUGGGAACAGAGAGCCUCAACUGAGGGACCACACCCAUUGAGUUAGCCUGUAGGUGCGUUUGUGGAACGUUUCUUAAUUGUCAACUGGUGUAGUUGUCUGGCCUACUGUGAGCCAUCUAAUCCCUAGGCAGCAACAGAAAACAAACCAGAAUGCUGUUGUCAAUGGAUGGUCUUCUGCAGUAUAUUAAAAAUCAUUAUUUUUAUGUAAGCUUUUGUUACUUGAGGUUUUCAUUUGUGCCCUCAUCAUCUGUGGUGAGAGCCUAGGUCUUCAGGCUCACAGAUCACUGCCUUUGUCGGCAUCUGAUAAUCCCAGUGUGCAGUGUGUUGCAAACUUGGUAAAGAAAUUGGAAUGCAUUCUGAGCUGAUUAAGUACUAUGACUAGAUAGGUUAAGAGUUGAAGUCACACUUUAAUCAUAUCACUGGUCUAUGUGUGAAGUUAUGUAUGUGAAAUGUAUAAAAUAUUUGCUACCACUCUAUGUCUCGUUGGUCUUAUAGCGAGCUGUUUAUAUCUUAGAUAGUCUUUUAUAACUCAGGGGCACUGGUAUUUUAGUCUUGGUCUGUAAUCAUUAAAGAAAAAUCAUUGAAGCUGGCUUGAAAAUGUAUUUUCUGCUUGUGCUUAUACAUGUUAG
This is a long non-coding RNA of Peromyscus leucopus (white-footed mouse), 2718 nucleotides long. RefSeq lists it as uncharacterized. The transcript is spliced from 3 exons. Lineage: Eukaryota; Metazoa; Chordata; Mammalia; Rodentia; Cricetidae. The record is from RefSeq and is a predicted model, not a curated record.